Oryzias melastigma (Indian medaka) is the source of this 899-nucleotide long non-coding RNA. RefSeq lists it as uncharacterized. The transcript has 2 exons. The record is from RefSeq and is a predicted model, not a curated record. NCBI's taxonomy places the organism in Eukaryota, Metazoa, Chordata, Actinopteri, Beloniformes, Adrianichthyidae.
GUGUCGCCCCAGACACAUUUGGACACACGCUCUUUGAAUUACCGUAACUCCUGAACCGUCUGCUCCAUUUUAAAAAUUUCAACAGUUUCCGAAAGCUGAGACAUUGCGCUUUCUUGUGAGUAUUGGUUCAUUACGGUAAUUCUACCCAGAAGCCCGCGGGGGGCUCCGUUGUUUACCGGUGAGACAGACGGAGCGGAGGAGAGAUGCAGAGACCGGAGCGGUCGAGAAGAGUUUUUAUAACAGCGAAAAAAAUAAGAAAAAUGUCUGAAAGACGACCAUCGUGGCAAAUAUAACCUUCAUGGAGGUUCAGAAAAGACUUUGGGACCGAAGGAGCAACAAUAAGGAGUCAUUUUUGGCGAGAAAAGUGUCCUGUGGGCUGCAGCUGAUGAUGCUGGAGGACCAAAGAUGAGAAAACGUGAGGAUGCUGGAGGUUCUGGUGAUCUGGUCAGAGAUCAAAGCUGCUGAUCACAUCAACAGCAGUGGAAGAGAUGCAGAACCAUCUGAUGGAGAUCCUCAUCCACUGAGAUUCAACCCCAGACGGAUCUCAGGUGUAAAAUUCAUCUCUAAAUACAGAAAACCAUCACCAGGUGAAAUCUUUUCCCACUGAUGCUGCAAACUCUGCACCAAGAGCACUUCCUGGAAGUUUGGGACUCUGGACUGUCACUGGCAGCAUCACCAAGACCUUUGAGGAGCCAAAGAGGACAGCUCUCCCCUGUGUGACCAAAAACGCCUGGAAAUAUUUGGCAUUUUAUGCACUGGUUUUUUGCACAAUUAGAGGGAAACAUACAGAAAUGUUGUUGUAAAUUGUUUGACAUUAAAUAAAUUUAAUCUUUUAACAAACAAAACCUGUUGUUCAUGUACAUUUGCACUGUUUUUCUCACUAAAAACUCUAAAAAUCA